Molecule: long non-coding RNA, 432 nt
Organism: Myotis davidii
Lineage: Eukaryota; Metazoa; Chordata; Mammalia; Chiroptera; Vespertilionidae
Exons: 5
Source: RefSeq, a predicted model, not a curated record
UCGUGGGAGGCGUUGCCCUCUGUUCCCGGCCCCUCAGGCAGCCACCCCAGUGGGCACACGCGCAGGUGCUGCUCCUGCCCCGCGCUCCCUCCCUUUGCCUUUCACUUCCCAGCUGCCAAGAUCUUGGAAGCUUUGAAGCUCAGCAAAGAAGGGAAUCCACCGAGAAUAGCCUGUAAAGGGUCAAGCAAUAUCCAGACAUUAGCAGCACUUUGCCUGUCCCUACCUGAGCCUGGGAUUCUUCCAUUGGUAUCCCAGGACCACCUGCCUGCCUCUACCCUCUUGAAAGCUUUCUGUAUCCUGCCACUGAGCACCGAGGAGAUUCCAACUGAGAGAACAUGUCCUUCAGAUUCGGCCAACAUCUCAUCAAGCCCUCUGUGGUGUUUCUCCGGACAGAACUGUCCUACGCCCUCGUGAACAGGAAACCUGUGGUCC